UCCUUAGCGGUAAAUCAUAUGCAAAAAAGAAUAAAAUAAUAAUUUUUUGCUUAAUAAACUUAAGGAUUGGUCCGUAAAUAGGAGGUUUAAGAAUCUGAUCCUUAAGCUACGUGGCCAAAUCUUAAUGGAUGGGAACAGUUUUGUGUCGUCUUCUUCGUCUUCCAUCUCCUCUCUCUCUGCUUCGAAUAGAAUCAUGCGAAGAUUCAAUUCGGUUCUGCGGAGUUUGCAGGCGCGACGAACAUUUGACUCCUCCGCCCUCGGAUUGCGACCAGAACAACUGUACAAGGAAGGUACUUGAUCUCCGAUGAUGAAGGCUAUGUGUGUGAUGCUGUGUCUUUGGAUUCUCGAACCCGUUGCUGCCCAUUGAAAGGAGAAAGAUUCUCUUGCCAUGGAUGCAACGUCCUUUCACAAUGCUGCAGCUCUUAUGAAUUUUGCGUUUCGUGUUGCUUGAAUCCAACUCGGACGCUUCUUGAGAUAAGGUGGCUAAGGUAAAAGUUGCCAAGCCGAUUACAGCAGGGACAUACACGACUGUAUUUGAUUUUUGUGCCGGGAGAUGUGCCAUAGUUCUGAGAGUGUGGUAAGCGAUUGACUGUUCUUCUCUUCUUAGCAAGUUUUUCUUGAGUUUAUGUUGCCGAAGUUGGAGAAUACUAUUUUUGAUCUUCUUGUUGUUCCAGAAUAAUUGCAUAUGCACACACUUUUGAUAUGAUUGAAUAACACCAUUGCACACACUUUCUUUUAA
This is a long non-coding RNA of Raphanus sativus (radish), 739 nucleotides long. RefSeq lists it as uncharacterized. The record is from RefSeq and is a predicted model, not a curated record. NCBI's taxonomy places the organism in Eukaryota, Viridiplantae, Streptophyta, Magnoliopsida, Brassicales, Brassicaceae. The transcript has 7 exons.